GCGCAUUUGGUGUAGGGGUAUCAUAGUACCCUCCCAUUGUAUUGAUCGGGGUUCAWUUCCCUGGAUACACU
RNAcentral lists this transfer RNA (71 nucleotides) under Vitis vinifera (wine grape). RNAcentral describes it as "transfer RNA-Gly". It matches the Rfam family "tRNA". From Rfam's summary of the family: Transfer RNA (tRNA) molecules are approximately 80 nucleotides in length. Their secondary structure includes four short double-helical elements and three loops (D, anti-codon, and T loops). Lineage: Eukaryota; Viridiplantae; Streptophyta; Magnoliopsida; Vitales; Vitaceae. The record is from RNAcentral.